This 281-nucleotide long non-coding RNA is filed under the name Lathyrus oleraceus (garden pea). Its description in RNAcentral is "Pisum sativum (pea) long non-coding RNA (PSAT_LNC038125)". The record is from RNAcentral. Lineage: Eukaryota; Viridiplantae; Streptophyta; Magnoliopsida; Fabales; Fabaceae.
UGUGUUGUAGAAGAACCUUCUCCUUGUUCUUGUCGUUGUCUAGCUUGUUGCCUCCUUCGUCUCGUUCUGCUAUUCAGUCUCCUUGCGGUUCUUUCGAUCUCGGGAUCAAAAAGAAGUUGGUCCUCAGGAACCUGCCCUCGCAUAAAACGAAAGUUGCACACUAAACCAAACAAAUUAACAAGCACAAGUCAAAAACUCAGAAGUUAAAAAUUCAGCAACUAUUGCGAUGCUCACAAUAUCAAUUCACAAUCCUCGGCAACGACACCAUUUUGUUAGAACAG